This 481-nucleotide ribosomal RNA is filed under the name uncultured bacterium. RNAcentral describes it as "bacterial SSU rRNA". It matches the Rfam family "Bacterial small subunit ribosomal RNA", at positions 28 to 509 of the family's 1533-position model. The record is from RNAcentral.
GACGAACGCUGGCGGCGUGCUUAACACAUGCAAGUUGAACGGGCAGGUAUGGAAGCUUGCUGAAGUAUCUGUUAGUAGCGGACGGGUGAGUAAUGCAUGAGAAGCUGCCAUUGGGAGGGGGACAACAGUUGGAAACGGCUGCUAAUACCCCAUAUGCCGGAAGGUGAAACGGAGUAAUCUGCCCGAUGAGGUGCUCAUGUCCUAUCAGCUAGUUGGUGAGGUAACGGCUCACCAAGGCGACGACGGGUAGCCGGCCUGAGAGGGUGACCGGCCACACUGGAACUGAGAUACGGUCCAGACUCCUACGGGAGGCAGCAGUGGGGAAUAGUCUACAAUGGUCGAAAGACUGAUAGUGCGACGCCGCGUGAACGAAGAAGCCCUUCGGGUGUAAAGUUCUUUUAUAUGUGAGCAGUGACACCCAUAUUAAUAGUAUGGGUGUAGAGAUAUUAGCAUAUGAAUAAGCAACGGCUAACUCCGUGCC